ACACGACUACAUUAGAUACCCGGGUAGUCCCAGCCGUAAACGAUACUCGCUAGGUGUCGGCCACGGUGCGACCGUUGUCGGUGCCGUAGGGAAGCCGUGAAGCGAGCCACCUGGGAAGUACGGCCGCAAGGCUGAAACUUAAAGGAAUUGGCGGGGGAGCACCACAACGGGUGGAGCUUGCGGUUUAAUUGGAUUCAACGCCGGAAAUCUUACCGGGACCGACAGCAACAUGAAGGCCAGGCUGAAGACUUUGCCGGAUUAGCUG
This 265-nucleotide ribosomal RNA is filed under the name uncultured archaeon. Its description in RNAcentral is "partial 16S ribosomal RNA". It matches the Rfam family "Archaeal small subunit ribosomal RNA", at positions 717 to 982 of the family's 1478-position model. The record is from RNAcentral.